RNAcentral lists this ribosomal RNA (490 nucleotides) under Sancus acoreensis. RNAcentral describes it as "partial 16S ribosomal RNA". The stretch from base 1 to 292 matches the Rfam family "Bacterial large subunit ribosomal RNA", at positions 2085 to 2642 of the family's 2925-position model. Lineage: Eukaryota; Metazoa; Arthropoda; Arachnida; Araneae; Tetragnathidae. The record is from RNAcentral.
AAGACCCUAUCAAACUUUACUUUAGUUUAACUGGGGCAGUUAAUUAAUAAAAAUUUUAAUAAAGAUUAAGUACUAAAUAGANNNCCCAACANUAGUUGAUUACANUGAACAAGUUACUGUAGGGAUAACAGCGUAAUAUAUGUCUAAAGUUCUUAUUUUGAUAUAAGUUUGCGACCUCGAUGUUGAAUUNAUAUUACUUUCAAGCGCAAGAGCCUGAAAAGUGGGUCUGUUCGACCCCUAAAUAUAUACAUGAUUUGAGUUCAAAUCGGUGUAAACCAGAUUGGUUUCUAUCUAUUNUUAUUUGUGUCUUAGUACGAAAGGACCUGAAACAAUAUUAUAUAAUNAUUUAUAUGGCAGAAAAAUGCUUUAGAUUUAGGAUCUAAUUAUAAUAGAUUAUUAUACUCUAUUUAACUUGCCUAAUCUCUGUUAUUAGAAUCCUUAUCGCAGUAGCUUUUUAUACCCUCCUAGAGCGAAAAAUUCUAAGCUACAU